CCCUAGUAACUGCGAGUGAAGCGGGAAAAGCUCAAAUUUAAAAUCUGGCAGUCUUUGGCUGUCCGAGUUGUAAUCUAGAGAAGUGUUACCCGCGCUGGACCGUGUACAAGUCUCCUGGAAUGGAGCGUCAUAGAGGGUGAGAAUCCCGUCUUUGACAUGGACUACCAGUGCUUUUGUGGUGCGCUCUCAAAGAGUCGAGUUGUUUGGGAAUGCAGCUCAAAAUGGGUGGUAAAUUCCAUCUAAAGCUAAAUAUUGGCGAGAGACCGAUAGCGAACAAGUACCGUGAGGGAAAGAUGAAAAGAACUUUGGAAAGAGAGUUAAACAGUACGUGAAAUUGCUGAAAGGGAAACGCUUGAAGUCAGUCGCGUCGACCAGGAAUCAACCUUGCUCUUUUGCUGGGCGUACUUCCUGUUUGAYGGGUCAGCAUCAAUUUUGACCGAUGGAUAAAGGUCAAGGGAAUGUGGCAUCUUCGGAUGUGUUAUAGCCCUUGGUUGUAUACAUCGGUUGGGAUUGAGGAACUCAGCACGCCGCAAGGCCGGGUUUUUAACCACGUUCGUGCUUAGGAUGCUGGCAUAAUGGCUUUAAUCGACCCGUCUUGAAACACGGACCAAGGAGUCUAACAUGCCUGCGAGUGUUUGGGUGGAAAACCCGAGCGCGUAAUGAAAGUGAAAGUUGAGAUCCCUGUCGUGGGGAGCAUCGACGCCCGGACCAGACCUUCUGUGACGGCUCCGCGGUAGAGCAUGUAUGUUGGGACCCGAAAGAUGGUGAACUAUGCCUGAAUAGGGUGAAGCCAGAGGAAACUCUGGUGGAGGCUCGUAGCGAUUCUGACGUGCAAAUCGAUCGUCAAAUUUGGGUAUAGGGGCGAAAGACUAAUCGAACCAUCUAGUA
RNAcentral lists this ribosomal RNA (888 nucleotides) under Stagnicola perplexa. RNAcentral's name for it is "partial large subunit ribosomal RNA". It matches the Rfam family "Eukaryotic large subunit ribosomal RNA", at positions 78 to 949 of the family's 3401-position model. Lineage: Eukaryota; Fungi; Basidiomycota; Agaricomycetes; Agaricales; Mythicomycetaceae. The record is from RNAcentral.